Cyprinus carpio (common carp) is the source of this 1821-nucleotide long non-coding RNA. The record is from Ensembl. NCBI's taxonomy places the organism in Eukaryota, Metazoa, Chordata, Actinopteri, Cypriniformes, Cyprinidae.
AUAUAUAUAUAUAUAUAUAUAUAUAUAUAUAUAUAUAUGAAUUUUCUACAUGUUAUCUUAAGAGUUUUUCCAUUGUUUUAGUAUAACAUUAUAAUACCAUUCAUAUUUACUUUUUUUGUAAAAACUUUUUAAUAUAAUUUAAAGAAACCAAUCCGAUUUAUAGUUGCCAUUUGAGGCUUAAUACUAUAGAAAAGCACUCAAAGUUUUUUAGCUUGUUUAUUUUACUAUGAAAAUAUGGUAUGCAGUUGCAUCAAACAAUGGUAUAAACAUCAAUGUAAAUUGUGAGAAUCCUAAUUAAUAAAUCACAAUUACAAUUUCAAGGCAAUAAUCUACAAUUAUGAUUUUUGUCAUAAUCAUACAGCCAUAACUACAGUCACAACAAUGACAGCUUCAGCAAACAUAUUGCUGUACCCUAAAGAUUUGCAACACAUAAAAUGUGGGCAAUUCCCAUUUAAUCUCACAAGCCUGCUUUUAAUUAAAACAAUAGUGCAUUCAAUGAUACAUUCAUUCAUUCUGUUAUUGUUUUGGUCCAGCUUAGAAUGAAUGAAUGAAUGAACUAAUUAAUUAAGCUACAUUAGCUAACACAUUGUCAUCACAAAUCAUAAACUAAUACAAAAAAAAAGUGUCUAGAAAGUGUCAACAAUCACUCUACAAUGUUUGUUUUGAUGGAGUAAACAUCACAGGGGGUGGGGACAGAAUAUGCUUGUGACCUCACUCCAUUCAUGUUUUGCCUGUAGCCAUUCAACCAAUCCCAUCCCACGUGUGUCUAAAUGUCCAGGUCAUCAAUUGCACUUCGUACGGUCCCAGGGACGUGUCGGACGGACGUCUUUUCAACGGUCAACAGACGUCCGAAUGUUUGCUGGGACGGCACGAAAUUUUUUUUUUUUUUUUUUUUUUUUUUAAUAUCAUGACAUGGCGGAGCGCAAGAAAAAAAUGCAUUCUGAAGCUGCUCACUUAGGCGAUCUGGCUCGUCUCAGUCUGCUCAAUCGUGGUGAUGUCAGUGCCCUAAAAGAUGUUAUAAUGGACUAUUUCACAUCCAGAGAUGAAGGAUUGGAUGAAGUUACUAAAGAGGAGGAGUCCGAUGACAGUCUGUUAUAUGCACAGUUGCCAGAUGCUGUCCUGUCGGAAAUUCUUCUUCACAUGGUCCUGGAGGAGGGUGAUGCUGCAUUAUUAAAUCUGUCUUUGGUUUGUUCCAAAUUCAGAAGUCUGGUGUAUACAGAAUCAUUUCAGAAGAAGGCACAUUUCUCCUGGCUUGACAGUAUGUAUUUUUUUACAUAUUUGAUUAGAGGUUUAAAAUGGUGCCAUACCAUUAAAUUUCUCAGUUGCCAUGUCUGAAUGUUUAUCUUUGUAAUAAUGCUGUUUUUAUGUUUCUCAUCUCAAUAUACAGGUGUAACAAAAUGGAGAACAAGUCUGAGCCACGCCAGGAAUUCUUCAAAAUGUACACAGUGCAACCCUGCAGACACUGCCAUGAGGUUUACAAGUACUGCUUACCAGGUGUGUAAAUUAAGCAUGAAAAUGUGAUCACUGCUAGAUACAUGAUGACAAAAUGCAAUGGGAAUAAUCAUUUUAUUAACAGUAGACAUGCAUGCACAGCCAUACCUCAGGAUUGUUGUUAGUGAUUCUAAUUGAUAUUUCCGUCUGCUUGCUUACUGGAUGUAUUUUAUACUGUUUACAUUGUAUAGCACUGACUUUGACAACAUACCAAGCCUGUUACAAAUUUAACAGCUACGUUAUUAUAUGUAUAAUUGUUUCUUGAAAUACUACAAAUGUAAAAAAUAUAACAGCAAAAUAUGAUUUUAAAUAAAGGUAAUUGAUGAGACA